CCUGUGCAAACAGAUAAAAUCGCACAGCGGACAACCGGCAGUCCGGAGAGCCGGGAGCACCUCUAAGACGAAGUGUUAGUUUCGGGCUUGCGGUCACCCCCUCCCGCACGAGUCACCGGGGUGAUGCAGUAUGCGGGCACGAUAUUCAUUACAAUUUUUCCCUGUCUACUUCCUGCGAGCGCCUAUCGGGGCCGGCGGCCCAGGUUUUUACAGUAUCAGAACAUCAGUUUUGAACUGCGCGUGUCAGUUCGAUUACGGCCAGAGGCGCAUAUGGUAUGCGGAUCUGUUGAGAAAGUGUUUUGUGCGGUGCAUUUUGAUCUUAAGUUGCGCAUAAUGGCAUCGAGGAAUUGCAACUUGCCCCCGAAUAGGGCAGUGCGACGGCGAAGUGCAUGUGCAGUGUGUAACGAAGAAAACUUAUCCACAGCUUGGUGACCAGUCGGGCAAACUAGUGACGAAAAUGGCUGCUACUGCUCGAAUUGGUCUGACGGCUAGCCGAAGCGUUACUAGCGUUACUCUUGCCGUUACCAUCGCUAUUUUUGCUUCCCUUCGGUUUGCGCUUACGAGACUGCGAAGGAAAAAGGAUUCAGUGGACGGUUCACGUUGUGCAGCUUGUAGUACAGUCCACACGCAUUGCAGACUGGUUCACCGACUUGAUUGCGGCGCCACAGCGAAGUGUUGGUUGUGUUGCA
Molecule: long non-coding RNA, 689 nt
Organism: Anopheles merus
Lineage: Eukaryota; Metazoa; Arthropoda; Insecta; Diptera; Culicidae
Exons: 4
Source: RefSeq, a predicted model, not a curated record